This is a long non-coding RNA of Oncorhynchus keta (chum salmon), 365 nucleotides long. RefSeq lists it as uncharacterized. Lineage: Eukaryota; Metazoa; Chordata; Actinopteri; Salmoniformes; Salmonidae. The transcript has 2 exons. The record is from RefSeq and is a predicted model, not a curated record.
UCUGGGAAACAGCACCUGUACUGUUAACGUGGAGGUCACAGGAGCUUCCUGUCAGACUGCUGGAAGUGCCUUGGUGGUUGUGCUGCUCCUCCAACUCAUUCAUUGGCUUUAAGACCACUUCCUGAACCCACUGAUUGGCUGAAUACAUGUGCUUUUAUUUUUUUCUUCUUCAAAAUCCCUCCCACUGUGAUUGGUGGCUGUCUGUCCACUUUCUGCUAACUAUUGAUUAAUUUAAAAAAUAUAUAUAUUGAUUGAUUGAUUGAUAACCAUGACAACAAUACUUUGAUAAUAUUACCUUGUAACUUUAUGAUUUUGCCUUAAAUCAACAGUUUGGAUCCACCUACACAUUAAAGGGUUUGUCUUUA